CAAGGUUUCCGUAGGUGAACCUGCGGAAGGAUCAUUAACGAACAAACAUACACACUUUUUUUUAGCACACACAAACGAAUUAGUAAAGUCAACACUUUGAAAAUCAAAACUUUCAACAACGGAUCUCUUGGUUCUCGCAUCGAUGAAGAACGCAGCGAAAUGCGAUACGUAGUAUGACUUGCAGUUUUCGUGAAUCAUCGAAUCUUUGAACGCACAUUGCGCCUCGUGGCAUUCCACGAGGCAUGCCGGCCUGAGCGUCGUUUCCCUCUCACAACUGCUUGUGGUGUUGGGCAGCACGGCGUGCGCUCGAAAGACAUGGAGCCAACGUUCUAAACGUCGUUGGGCUUUCAUCAAUUUCGACCUCAGGGUGGUAGGAUUACCCGCUGAACUUAAGCAUAUCAA
RNAcentral lists this ribosomal RNA (402 nucleotides) under Danielozyma litseae. RNAcentral's name for it is "eukaryotic LSU rRNA". The stretch from base 108 to 260 matches the Rfam family "5.8S ribosomal RNA". The record is from RNAcentral. Lineage: Eukaryota; Fungi; Ascomycota; Pichiomycetes; Serinales; Debaryomycetaceae.